RNAcentral lists this ribosomal RNA (1405 nucleotides) under uncultured bacterium. Its description in RNAcentral is "16S ribosomal RNA". It matches the Rfam family "Bacterial small subunit ribosomal RNA". The record is from RNAcentral.
AGAGUUUGAUCCUGGCUCAGGAUGAACUCUAGCGACAGGCUUAACACAUGCAAGUCGAGGGGCAGCGGUGGUGAAGGCUUGCCUUUACCAGCCGGCGACCGGCGCACGUGUGAGUAACACGUAUGCAACCUGCCUGCCACGGCCGGAUAAUCGGGAGAAAUCCCGUCUAAUACGGCAUAAUGCAUCGACGGGACAUCCUGUUGGUGCCAAAGGUUGAUUCCGGUGGCGGAUGGGCAUGCGUCGCAUUAGUUAGUUGGCGGUGUAAUGGACCACCAAGACGACGAUGCGUAGGGGUUCUGAGAGGAAGGUCCCCCACACUGGUACUGAGACACGGACCAGACUCCUACGGGAGGCAGCAGUGAGGAAUAUUGGUCAAUGGGCGGGAGCCUGAACCAGCCAAGUCGCGUGAGGGAUGACGGCCCUAUGGGUUGUAAACCUCUUUUGCCGGGGAGCAAAGUGCCGCACGUGUGCGGUUUGGAGAGUACCCGGAGAAAAAGCAUCGGCUAACUCCGUGCCAGUAGCCGCGGUAAUACGGAGGAUGCGAGCGUUAUCCGGAUUUAUUGGGUUUAAAGGGUGCGUAGGCGGACGCUUAAGUCAGCGGUAAAAUUGCGGGGCUCAACCUCGUCGAGCCGUUGAAACUGGGUGCCUUGAGUGGGCGAGAAGUACGCGGAAUGCGUGGUGUAGCGGUGAAAUGCAUAGAUAUCACGCAGAACUCCGAUUGCGAAGGCAGCGUACCGGCGCCCAACUGACGCUGAAGCACGAAGGCGUGGGUAUCGAACAGGAUUAGAUACCCUGGUAGUCCACGCAGUAAACGAUGAAUGCUAGUUGUCCGGGGCGAUUGAGUUCUGGGUGACACAGCGAAAGCGUUAAGCAUUCCACCUGGGGAGUACGCCGGCAACGGUGAAACUCAAAGGAAUUGACGGGGGCCCGCACAAGCGGAGGAACAUGUGGUUUAAUUCGAUGAUACGCGAGGAACCUUACCCGGGCUCAAACGCAGGAGGGAUGUUUUUGAAAGGAGGCAGCCAGCAAUGGUCUCCUGCGAGGUGCUGCAUGGUUGUCGUCAGCUCGUGCCGUGAGGUGUCGGCUUAAGUGCCAUAACGAGCGCAACCCCUACCUACAGUUGCCAUCGCGUGAUGGCGGGCACUCUGUGGGGACUGCCUGCGCAAGCAGUGAGGAAGGCGGGGAUGACGUCAAAUCAGCACGGCCCUUACGUCCGGGGCGACACACGUGUUACAAUGGCAGGUACAGCGGGAAGCCACCCGGCGACGGGGCGCGGAACCCGAAAACCUGUCUCAGUUCGGAUUGGAGUCUGCAACCCGACUCCAUGAAGCUGGAUUCGCUAGUAAUCGCGCAUCAGCCACGGCGCGGUGAAUACGUUCCCGGGCCUUGCACUCACCGCCCGUCA